UCCCUGGUGGCUCAGACAGUAAAGAAUCUGCUUCCGAUGCAGGAGACCCAGGUUCGAUCCCUGGGUUGGGAA
Molecule: transfer RNA, 72 nt
Filed under: Capra hircus (goat)
Lineage: Eukaryota; Metazoa; Chordata; Mammalia; Artiodactyla; Bovidae
Also listed under: 1 other name
Rfam family: tRNA
About the family: Transfer RNA (tRNA) molecules are approximately 80 nucleotides in length.
Source: Rfam by way of RNAcentral